This 466-nucleotide ribosomal RNA is filed under the name uncultured bacterium. Its description in RNAcentral is "partial 16S ribosomal RNA". It matches the Rfam family "Bacterial small subunit ribosomal RNA", at positions 28 to 507 of the family's 1533-position model. The record is from RNAcentral.
GACGAACGCUGGCGGCGUGCUUAACACAUGCAAGUCGAACGGAAAGGCCAGUGCUUGCACUGGUGCUCGAGUGGCGAACGGGUGAGUAACACGUGGGUGAUCUGCCUUGCACUCUGGGAUAAGCUUGGGAAACUGGGUCUAAUACCGGAUAUGAACUGCCUUUAGUGUGGUGGUUGGAAAGUUUUUUCGGUGCAAGAUGAGCUCGCGGCCUAUCAGCUUGUUGGUGGGGUAAUGGCCUACCAAGGCGUCGACGGGUAGCCGGCCUGAGAGGGUGUACGGCCACAUUGGGACUGAGAUACGGCCCAGACUCCUACGGGAGGCAGCAGUGGGGAAUAUUGCACAAUGGGCGGAAGCCUGAUGCAGCGACGCCGCGUGGGGGAUGACGGCCUUCGGGUUGUAAACUCCUUUCGACAGGGACGAAGCGUAAGUGACGGUACCUGUAUAAGAAGCACCGGCUAACUACGUG